RNAcentral lists this ribosomal RNA (1411 nucleotides) under Salmonella enterica subsp. enterica serovar Typhimurium. Its description in RNAcentral is "partial 23S ribosomal RNA". It matches the Rfam family "Bacterial large subunit ribosomal RNA", at positions 585 to 1895 of the family's 2925-position model. The record is from RNAcentral. Lineage: Bacteria; Pseudomonadati; Pseudomonadota; Gammaproteobacteria; Enterobacterales; Enterobacteriaceae.
GUGGUGGGGUGACUGCGUACCUUUUGUAUAAUGGGUCAGCGACUUAUAUUCUGUAGCAAGGUUAACCGAAUAGGGGAGCCGGAGGGAAACCGAGUCUUAAUUGGGCGUUAAGUUGCAGGGUAUAGACCCGAAACCCGGUGAUCUAGCCAUGGGCAGGUUGAAGGUUGGGUAACACUAACUGGAGGACCGAACCGACUAAUGUUGAAAAAUUAGCGGAUGACCUGUGGCUGGGGGUGAAAGGCCAAUCAAACCGGGAGAUAGCUGGUUCUCCCCGAAAGCUAUUUAGGUAGCGCCUCGUGAAUUCAUCUCCGGGGGUAGAGCACUGUUUCGGCUAGGGGGCCAUCCCGGCUUACCAACCCGAUGCAAACUGCGAAUACCGGAGAAUGUUAUCACGGGAGACACACGGCGGGUGCUAACGUCCGUCGUGAAGAGGGAAACAACCCAGACCGCCAGCUAAGGUCCCAAAGUCAUGGUUAAGUGGGAAACGAUGUGGGAAGGCCCAGACAGCCAGGAUGUUGGCUUAGAAGCAGCCAUCAUUUAAAGAAAGCGUAAUAGCUCACUGGUCGAGUCGGCCUGCGCGGAAGAUGUAACGGGGCUAAACCAUGCACCGAAGCUGCGGCAGCGAACGUAUCACCCAAGACAACUUUACGGAGUUGACGAUUGACGGAGCGAAGCGACGUCAAAGCGUUCAUUAAAGUCGAGUUGGCUUAGGGAUACGUUCGUUGGGUAGGGGAGCGUUCUGUAAGCCUGUGAAGGUGUGUCGUGAGGCAUGCUGGAGGUAUCAGAAGUGCGAAUGCUGACAUAAGUAACGAUAAAGCGGGUGAAAAGCCCGCUCGCCGGAAGACCAAGGGUUCCUGUCCAACGUUAAUCGGGGCAGGGUGAGUCGACCCCUAAGGCGAGGCCGAAAGGCGUAGUCGAUGGGAAACGGGUUAAUAUUCCCGUACUUGGUGUUACUGCGAAGGGGGGACGGAGAAGGCUAUGUUGGCCGGGCGACGGUUGUCCCGGUUUAAGCGUGUAGGUGUGUGUUCCAGGUAAAUCCGGUUCACUUUAACACUGAGGCGUGACGACGAGGCACUACGGUGCUGAAGCAACAAAUGCCCUGCUUCCAGGAAAAGCCUCUAAGCAUCAGGUAACACGAAAUCGUACCCCAAACCGACACAGGUGGUCAGGUAGAGAAUACCAAGGCGCUUGAGAGAACUCGGGUGAAGGAACUAGGCAAAAUGGUGCCGUAACUUCGGGAGAAGGCACGCUGACACGUAGGUGAAGUGAUUUACUCAUGGAGCUGAAGUCAGUCGAAGAUACCAGCUGGCUGCAACUGUUUAUUAAAAACACAGCACUGUGCAAACACGAAAGUGGACGUAUACGGUGUGACGCCUGCCCGGUGCCGGAAGGUUAAUUGAUGGGGUCAGCG